AUGUAUUAGGCCCGGGCGUCGGCGUUCAUGGACCGGCGCCCCUUUCAGAGCA
This 52-nucleotide small RNA is filed under the name Sinorhizobium meliloti 2011. Its description in RNAcentral is "putative ncRNA". The record is from RNAcentral. Lineage: Bacteria; Pseudomonadati; Pseudomonadota; Alphaproteobacteria; Hyphomicrobiales; Rhizobiaceae.